ACAGGGAUUGCCCUAGUAACGGCGAGUGAAGCGGCAACAGCUCAAAUUUGAAAUCUGGCGUCUUCGGCGUCCGAGUUGUAAUUUGCAGAGGGCGCUUUGGCAUUGGCAGCGGUCCAAGUUCCUUGGAACAGGACGUCACAGAGGGUGAGAAUCCCGUACGUGGUCGCUAGCCUUUACCGUGUAAAGCCCCUUUGACGAGUCGAGUUGUUUGGGAAUGCAGCUCUAAAUGGGAGGUAAAUUUCUUCUAAAGCUAAAUACUGGCCAGAGACCGAUAGCGCACAAGUAGAGUGAUCGAAAGAUGAAAAGCACUUUGGAAAGAGAGUUAAAAAGCACGUGAAAUUGUUGAAAGGGAAGCGCUUGCAGCCAGACUUGCCUGUAGUUGCUCAUCC
This 389-nucleotide ribosomal RNA is filed under the name Allophoma hayatii. RNAcentral describes it as "partial large subunit ribosomal RNA". It matches the Rfam family "Eukaryotic large subunit ribosomal RNA", at positions 68 to 454 of the family's 3401-position model. The record is from RNAcentral. Lineage: Eukaryota; Fungi; Ascomycota; Dothideomycetes; Pleosporales; Didymellaceae.